CUACGGGUGGCUCCAGUGGGGAAUAUUGCACAAUGGGGGGAACCCUGAUGCAGCAACGCCGCGUGGAGGAUGACACAUUUCGGUGCGUAAACUCCUUUUAUAUAAGAAGAUAAUGACGGUAUUAUAUGAAUAAGCACCGGCUAACUCCGUGCCAGCAGCCGCGGUAAUACGGGGGGUGCAAGCGUUACUCGGAAUCACUGGGCGUAAAGAGCAUGUAGGCGGGUAGAAAAGUUGGAAGUGAAAUCCUAUGGCUUAACCAUAGAACUGCUUCCAAAACUCUUUACCUAGAAUAUGGGAGAGGUAGAUUGAAUUUCUGGUGUAGGGGUAAAAUCCGUAGAGAUCAGAAGGAAUACCGAAUGCGAAGGCGAUCUACUGGAACAUUAUUGACGCUCAGAUGCGAAAGCGUGGGGAGCAAACAGGAUUAGAUACCCCCGUAGUC
RNAcentral lists this ribosomal RNA (439 nucleotides) under uncultured bacterium. Its description in RNAcentral is "partial 16S ribosomal RNA". It matches the Rfam family "Bacterial small subunit ribosomal RNA", at positions 339 to 795 of the family's 1533-position model. The record is from RNAcentral.